UAUUGGUUCUGGUAUAGAUGGUGGAGCAGAUGGAGACAUGACUUUCGUAACGGUUAUCACUCAUGUCCUGCCAGAUAGAUUGUGCUCAGUCACCUUUACAUUAAACUUGUGUGUUUAUCAUAUGGUGUUGAGCAGAGCUUGCGGAUCAGGCACCUCAAAACCAUCAUUUUUAUUUCCAUUGCCCUAAAAUGUGUAAAUAUUGUUGUCGGCUAUUAUGUAAUUUUUCAUAGCUGUUUUGUAGUGUUGUAAAAUACUUUAUAAUGACAUAAAUAUCUAUACUAUUAUUUAUGAAG
Molecule: long non-coding RNA, 293 nt
Filed under: Brassica napus (rape)
Lineage: Eukaryota; Viridiplantae; Streptophyta; Magnoliopsida; Brassicales; Brassicaceae
Description: long non-coding RNA (BNAP_LNC007898)
Source: RNAcentral